GCCAGGUGAGGUGGCACACACCUGUAAUCCCAGUGGCUCAGGAGGCUGAGGCAGGAGGAUCCUGAGUUCAAAACCAGCCUCAGCAAAAAGCAAGGCGCUAAGCAACUCAGGGAGACCCUGUCUCUA
RNAcentral lists this small RNA (126 nucleotides) under Marmota monax (woodchuck). Lineage: Eukaryota; Metazoa; Chordata; Mammalia; Rodentia; Sciuridae. The record is from RNAcentral.